CGCGUCAACUUAUGGUCUUUUGUAGUCAUUACCAGCUCAUGGUAGAUGACCCAGUCUGGUUGUCUCGGGAAAGGAGCACUUCUGGGGUGGAUAUAACUGGCUGGUUCUCAACCAAAGUCCGAUAACCCUCAUGUGGGUCCUUUCUAGCUGCAUGGAAAAAGAAUCCAGCUGUAAUCGCUUUCAUUAUCUUGUAUAUCAGGACAAACACAACAGCAGAUAUGCAAUGAACAGGCUUUUCAUGCAAAUGCUCAACCACAACCAUAUUAGCCAAGGCCAAAUAUCAUUGUUCUUAAUCAUGCACAAGUCUCAGAAAACUCAAUUUGGAAGCUUUGACCCUCGCAUUCUCUCUUUUUUUCUUCAUUUUCUAGGUGCCCAAACGAGGGUUUAGUAAAGAAUUUUUUUUUUGUUUUUGAUUUUGUUCUUCUGGGUCCUUUAGAUCUUGAACUGCAAGGAAGAAAGUUUAGAAUUUUUGAGAUGGUUGUUCAUGAAUGUUUGUUCCUGGAAGUGUUAGUGUUAUUGUUUGUUGUUUUUGGAAUAAAUUGUUGGUGCUUGAAUGGAUCGCGGCUCUUAGAAGGACAUACAAAAUAUUGUUUGUGGGUUUUUAUUAGUUAAUGUGAAUAGUCUUGGUUUUGUUUUUCUUCAAUAGAAAUAAAGCGUGUUUUAGAUUAGGGAAGUUCAGUUCUGUUUAUUUUACGUUAGUGAUUAAUGUUUGUGUAUGCAUUCAGAGUUAGACUUUUUCGGUUAUCAAGUAGUAGGGGCCAGUGAUGUGACAAAAUAUUUGCUACUCUUGAUGGGUUUCAAGGAAUCCAUUUGAUGUUAGUUUCCACCAAGAUCUCUGAGCCCAUGAAUCCUUUUGGUUUCAAAUUAUUUUCUUGGGAGUUUUUAUUGGCUGGUAAAAUGAGAUGUUGUAACGUGUUUGCUGACCCUGGCAUCAGUGGUUAUCAAUUAUGCUUUGGUGUCAAAUGUACCCUGCUAGAGCAUUACCUACUAAUUUCUGUGUUUGGAGUAGGUUAUAGUUCAGUGAAAAUGUGUAUUCCAUUGUAUUUGUUGUCUUUUUUAAGUAAGGUCUCCAAGUGUUUUUGGUUUUAAUUCUGCUUUUUUUUUUUAUUAACGCAGAUCAUUGAUGUUCUUCAUCCUGGCUGAGCCAAGGUUUCUAAGGCAGAGCUGAAGGAGAAGCUGGCAAAUUUGUAUGAGGUGAAGGACCCCAAUACAAUCCUAAGCAUCUUCGCGUACCUUUCCCUCAGCCUCAAACGGUCUCGGACUAGAGCUUUCUUCGAGUCAAAAAAUAAAAAAAAUAAAAAACUCCAAGUGAUUUUACCAAAUAAUUGUUAUUUUCAAUCUUAAAUUGAUCCAAAUAAUUGUUAAUGGCUGCACAAGUGAUAGCCAUAUCUAUGUCAAGAAGACCUCACUUGUUAUUUUCAGGGGUAUAAAUGUUUCCGGAGCUUUUCAAAACAUUACAAGUUUCAAGACA
Molecule: long non-coding RNA, 1471 nt
Organism: Populus nigra (black poplar)
Lineage: Eukaryota; Viridiplantae; Streptophyta; Magnoliopsida; Malpighiales; Salicaceae
Exons: 2
Source: RefSeq, a predicted model, not a curated record